RNAcentral lists this long non-coding RNA (512 nucleotides) under Pan troglodytes (chimpanzee). RNAcentral's name for it is "long non-coding RNA NONPTRT008436". Lineage: Eukaryota; Metazoa; Chordata; Mammalia; Primates; Hominidae. The record is from RNAcentral.
GGCGGAGUGAGCAGGGGCCGCUGGCUGCGGGGUCUGCAGGUCCCCGAGCCCCAGGAGAGGGGAUCCUGAGGGACCUGCCCGUGUGUCCUUGCAGCGGGCGCUCGGCCCCGCGGGCUCCCGGCAGCGCCCAGGAAAGGCCGUUUCGCCCUGCGAGGGACACAGAGCCGUUGACCGUGGUUGCAACUGGCAGUUGGCGCAGUAAGGACCCAGCCAGUGUUUCAGAUUUGCUGGGCCGUGGCUGUCACCCAGGGAGCUGCUAAGGGGGACGAAGACUCACUAUGUUGCCCAGCUGGUCUCCAACUUCUGGAAUCAAUCGAUCCUCCCAUCUUGGCCUCCCAAACUGGUGGGAUUACAGGCAGGCGUGAACCACCAUGCUCAGCCUAAACUCACCCAUUUUAAGUGUACAGUUUGAUCACUUUGAGUAAAUGUAUAAGACAUGCAAACACCAUCACGAGAAGUUUUAGAAUGUUUCUAUCACUCCAAAAGUUCCCGCACACCCUUUUGCAGUGAGU